This 243-nucleotide long non-coding RNA is filed under the name Nicotiana benthamiana. Its description in RNAcentral is "long non-coding RNA (NBEN_LNC014793)". The record is from RNAcentral. Lineage: Eukaryota; Viridiplantae; Streptophyta; Magnoliopsida; Solanales; Solanaceae.
UUUGGCUGCUUGGAAAGGUUCUGUAGUUUCCCCAUUCACCAUGACUGUAUAGCUCACUGUUUGAACACAUUCCAUGAUCCAUCUGAUAAACCUGUUUGGGAAGUUUAAAGAUUCCAUAACCUGCUGUAAGAAAACCCACUCAACAGAAUCAUAUGCCUUCUGUAAGUCCAUUUUAAUCAUGCAUUUAGGAGAUACAUGAGCCCUUGCAUAAUGUUUAAUCAAUUCAUGAGCUAGGAUAACAUU